UUCCCGAGCCCGUUCCACAGGAAGACGGCGAGUUAUACGCCUAAAGACUUUAUAGUUCUAUUUAUAGUUUUUAUUUCGAGUAUUUCUUUUGAUCAGCUUAUUCUUUCACAUGCUGAAUACAUUUUUGGUUAUUGUGUAAAGGAUGUUAAUCAUAAUUUUUAUUUCGCUUCCGCAUUUAAAAUUUUUAAUACAUACAUCUUCA
Molecule: long non-coding RNA, 202 nt
Filed under: Carica papaya (papaya)
Lineage: Eukaryota; Viridiplantae; Streptophyta; Magnoliopsida; Brassicales; Caricaceae
Description: long non-coding RNA (CPAP_LNC012897)
Source: RNAcentral